RNAcentral lists this ribosomal RNA (253 nucleotides) under uncultured bacterium. RNAcentral's name for it is "partial 16S ribosomal RNA". It matches the Rfam family "Bacterial small subunit ribosomal RNA", at positions 524 to 776 of the family's 1533-position model. The record is from RNAcentral.
UACGUAGGUGGCAAGCGUUGUUCGGAAUUAUUGGGCGUAAAGGGCGCGUAGGCGGUUUGUUAAGUCAGCUGUGAAAGCCCGGGGCUCAACCCGGAGGGUCAGCUGAUACUGGCAGACUAGAGUACAGAAGAGGUAACUGGAAUUCCCGGUGUAGCGGUGAAAUGCGCAGAUAUCAGGAGGAACACCGAUGGCGAAGGCAGAUCUCUGGGCCGUAACUGACGCUGAGGAGCGAAAGCAUGGGGAGCGAAACAGG